UUGUUGCUUGUUAUUUUUUAUUUAGAUACAGAGGAUAUUUCAAAAAGAUUUAUUAAUAUUACUUUUUACGUAUACUGUGCGGGUAUCAGCCCCACGACAAGUCAAUAAGAUAAGAUAAGAAAGACAGAAGGGAGAAAUUUUACUCAGUUUAGAAGCAACUCUUGCAAUAGAAAGAAAAUGAAAAAAUGAUCAGCUUGUGACUA
This 203-nucleotide long non-coding RNA is filed under the name Ananas comosus (pineapple). Its description in RNAcentral is "long non-coding RNA (ACOM_LNC011474)". Lineage: Eukaryota; Viridiplantae; Streptophyta; Magnoliopsida; Poales; Bromeliaceae. The record is from RNAcentral.